This 253-nucleotide ribosomal RNA is filed under the name uncultured bacterium. RNAcentral describes it as "partial 16S ribosomal RNA". It matches the Rfam family "Bacterial small subunit ribosomal RNA", at positions 524 to 776 of the family's 1533-position model. The record is from RNAcentral.
UACGGGGGGGGCAAGCGUUGUUCGGAAUUACUGGGCGUAAAGGGCCCGUAGGCGGCCAACUAAGUCAGACGUGAAAUCCCUCGGCUUAACCGGGGAACUGCGUCUGAUACUGGAUGGCUUGAAUCCGGGAGAGGGAUGCGGAAUUCCAGGUGUAGCGGUGAAAUGCGUAGAUAUCUGGAGGAACACCGGUGGCGAAGGCGGCAUCCUGGACCGGCAUUGACGCUGAGGAGCGAAAGCCAGGGGAGCAAACGGG